Molecule: ribosomal RNA, 496 nt
Filed under: uncultured bacterium
Lineage: Bacteria
Description: partial 16S ribosomal RNA
Rfam family: Bacterial small subunit ribosomal RNA
Source: RNAcentral
AUGAACGCUGGCGGCGUGCCUAAUACAUGCAAGUAGAACGCUGAAGGAAGGAGCUUGCUCUUUCCGGAUGAGUUGCGAACGGGUGAGUAACGCGUAGGUAACCUGCCUGGUAGCGGGGGAUAACUAUUGGAAACGAUAGCUAAUACCGCAUAACAGUAGAUGUUGCAUGAUAUCUACUUAAAAGGUGCAAUUGCACCACUACCAGAUGGACCUGCGUUGUAUUAGCUAGUUGGUGAGGUAACGGCUCACCAAGGCGACGAUACAUAGCCGACCUGAGAGGGUGAUCGGCCACACUGGGACUGAGACACGGCCCAGACUCCUACGGGAGGCAGCAGUAGGGAAUCUUCGGCAAUGGACGGAAGUCUGACCGAGCAACGCCGCGUGAGUGAAGAAGGGUUUCGAAUCGUAAAGCUCUGUUGUAAGAGAAGAACGAGUGUGAGAGUGGAAAGUUCACACUGUGACGGUAUCUUACCAGAAAGGGACGGCUAACUACGUG